GCGGAUAUGGUCGAAUGGUAAAAUUUCUCUUUGCCAAGGAGAA
This 43-nucleotide transfer RNA is filed under the name Hypenia simplex. Its description in RNAcentral is "Eriope simplex partial tRNA-Gly". The record is from RNAcentral. RNAcentral also lists the same sequence under 8 other names. Lineage: Eukaryota; Viridiplantae; Streptophyta; Magnoliopsida; Lamiales; Lamiaceae.